Molecule: ribosomal RNA, 482 nt
Filed under: uncultured bacterium
Lineage: Bacteria
Description: partial 16S ribosomal RNA
Rfam family: Bacterial small subunit ribosomal RNA
Source: RNAcentral
GACGAACGCUGGCGGCGUGCUUAACACAUGCAAGUCGAACGAUGAAGCAGAGAAACGCGCCCUUCGGUUCAAAUUUCACUUCGGAUUAGUGGCAGACGGGUGAGUAACGCGUGAGCAACCUACCUCUUACAAAGGGAUAGCCUCGGGAAACCGUGAUUAAUACCAUAUGACACAUUCAUAAGGCAUCUUAAGAAUGUUAAAGCUACGGCGGUAAGAGAUGGGCUCGCGUCCCAUUAGCUAGUUGGUGAGGUAACGGCCCACCAAGGCGACGAUGGGUAACCGGCCUGAGAGGGUGAACGGUCACAUUGGAACUGAGACACGGUCCAAACUCCUACGGGAGGCAGCAGUGGGGAAUAUUGCACAAUGGAGGGAACUCUGAUGCAGCGACGCCGCGCGGGCGAUGAAGGAAUUCGUUUCGUAAAGCUCUGUUCUAUGGGAAGAAAAGGACUGUACCAUAGGAGAAAGCCCCGGCUAAAUACGUG